RNA transcript from Galendromus occidentalis (western predatory mite), 1725 nucleotides. RefSeq lists it as uncharacterized. The transcript has 14 exons. NCBI's taxonomy places the organism in Eukaryota, Metazoa, Arthropoda, Arachnida, Mesostigmata, Phytoseiidae. The record is from RefSeq and is a predicted model, not a curated record.
AUGAUAACUGUUCCGUCGAAGAUCAGCACAAGCGUACGGCAUCGUUCUUGGAAGAUCGGAACCCUCACUGAUGAGGCGCUAUUCAGCAUCGCAGAUGUGGGCGGCAAGAGACCUGAGUGGCUGUCGCAUUCCGUCGCCGUAUACGGCAGAGGCAAUAUAGCUCAUCGGUUGGUUGGUCUACUAGCCUCGUUGGUUCGAAGGUGAACUCUCGUGCGUGGUCAUGGUCGACUAUUGGAGCCACCAGGGCGCUCGACCGCUUGGCGGUACCACCAUCCUUCACCUGUCAACUACGAUGAUGAUCAACUCUAUUGCGGGGGAUUCACGACCCAACAUAAUGUGAACGGUGGAAAAUGCGGAAUUUGUGGCGAUGCAUGGAACGCCGAAGUACCGAGAGAAAACGAGGAUGGGGGCCGCUACGGAUUAGGUCGCGUCUUCAGGACAUACUCACGAGGAGACACCAUCGAGAGCACGGUGGAGAUCACUGCUCAUCACAAGGGUUGGUUCGAAUUCCGUCUGGCUCCAGUGACCGGCACGAAUGGCACCACGCAAACGGAACUCGAUGGAAACUUGCUCUACAUUGAAGAAGCGGAGUCCACCAGGUAUCAUCUCCCAGAAGGCUCGUCCAAAGGCAUGUACGAUUUCCUCCUAAAACUCCCGGAGAAUUUGACUUGCGAGCGAUGCGUACUGCAGUGGCACUGGUGGACUGGGAACCGUUGGGAUAUUUGUCCAGACGGGAAGGGGAGACUGGGCUGCGGACCACAAGAGACCUUUCGAGGCUGCGCAGACAUCAUGAUCGUCGACAGGAGUCCGAAACAUGCAAGCGUCGAUCUCCGGGGGAACGAGCAGCUCACGGAAGAAGGACCAGUGAUACGGAUCUGGAGUUUCACUCCGAGCCAGCAUAGCCGUGAGGAGAAGGCAUGCCGUUAUGGACACAAGCAGCUGGGAUGGCUCCAUUCCUACCUUCAAAUAAUAGAACACGAGUCAAGGAAAUUCCGGGAAGGCCGACGAGUUCUGGCUCGCCGCGUGACCGGAAGCAUCGCGCUAAAUUGUGUAGUGAGAGCCGCUCACUCACCGUCCGUAAAAAUGAGAGUGCUCGCUAUCCUGAGCUCCGUGAUCUUUCUCUUCCUCCCGGCUGUUUUCUCGCAUGGUCGAAUGAUCGAACCUCCUGGACGAUCUACAGCCUGGAAAUACGGUUUCGAGACUCCCAUCAAUUAUAACGAUCACGAACUGUUUUGUGGAGGUUUCGAUCGUCAGCAUUUUGAGAACGGAGGUCAAUGCGGUAUUUGUGGCGAUCCUUGGGAUGAGACCGUCCCCCGACCCCACGAGGACGGUGGCUUAUAUGGAACCGGAACAGUAGUCAGGAAAUAUCUACAGGGUGGAGAGAUGGAGGUCGUGAUCGAAGUCACCACUCAUCAUAGAGGCUGGUUCGAAUUCAAGCUCUGCCCAGUUCAAGAAGGAGUAGAAUCCACUCAAGCCUGCCUCGACCAGUUCCCCCUUCGUCUGAAAGGCAACGACUCUGCUAGGUACGAAUUGCCGGAAGGAUCCAAGGAAGGCGCCUACCAAUUCAUCGUCGAUCUCCCAGAAGCUGUGACGUGUGAUCGGUGCGUCCUGCAAUGGCACUGGACAACUGGGAAUCGUUGGGGCCUGUGCGAAGACGGUAUCGGUCGUCUCGGCUGCGGUCCACAGGAGACGUUUCGAGCUUGCGCCGACAUCAGCAUCGCUUGA